Long non-coding RNA from Scaptodrosophila lebanonensis, 338 nucleotides. RefSeq lists it as uncharacterized. Lineage: Eukaryota; Metazoa; Arthropoda; Insecta; Diptera; Drosophilidae. The record is from RefSeq and is a predicted model, not a curated record. The transcript is spliced from 2 exons.
AACGUGAGAUUAGUUAGCGACAGUAUACAAAUCUAGUUAUUCAGACAUUGGAGAAGAAAUGAAGUACGUCGAUGUCAUCUAUGUUUUAAUUUCAAUGCUUGGCAUUUCGAUUGGACAACAGCAUCGACGUUGCCUAGAGCCGCCAUUCCAGCAAGGAUCUUGUGGUUCAAAAAUCUAUUUAUGGUCUUAUGAUUCAGCGACUAAUGACUGCAAAUCGUGGGUCUAUACAGGCUGUGGUGGCAAUUUCAAUCGGUUUGGGACAGAGAUUAAUUGUUUAUAUACUUGCCUAAUUAAGAGUUAAUACAUAUUUAUUUGCAAAUAUAAAUGCUACAAAAAUA